AGGGUUCGAUUAUGGCUCAGGACGAACGCUGGCGGCGCGCCUAACACAUGCAAGUCGAACGAGCGAGAGGAGGUUUACUUUCUCAAGCGAGUGGCGAACGGGUGAGUAACGCGUGGGUAACCUGCCUCAUACAGGGGGAUAACAGUUGGAAACGACUGCUAAUACCGCAUAAGCGCACAGGAUCGCAUGAUCCGGUGUGAAAAACUCCGGUGGUAUGGGAUGGACCCGCGUCUGAUUAGCCAGUUGGCAGGGUAACGGCCUACCAAAGCGACGAUCAGUAGCCGACCUGAGAGGGUGACCGGCCACAUUGGGACUGAGACACGGCCCAA
RNAcentral lists this ribosomal RNA (329 nucleotides) under uncultured bacterium. Its description in RNAcentral is "bacterial SSU rRNA". It matches the Rfam family "Bacterial small subunit ribosomal RNA", at positions 8 to 334 of the family's 1533-position model. The record is from RNAcentral.